RNAcentral lists this long non-coding RNA (1640 nucleotides) under Mus musculus (house mouse). Its description in RNAcentral is "long non-coding RNA chr5:146391513-146393153". Lineage: Eukaryota; Metazoa; Chordata; Mammalia; Rodentia; Muridae. The record is from RNAcentral.
UUCUCUGGACUUCACUCCAGUUGAACCAUUCUUUGAAGUAUUCUGAUUACUAAAAUACUACUUUUGUUUCAAAGUUGAAAUUGCCGUUUAUAGCAAUUUCAAGGUGUGUCAGUGAUAAUGAUAAAUCUAUACUUGAGCUGUACUUAAAAUUUUUAUGACUUCUCUGCCGUCUGCGUCUUAUAUAAGCUUAAUAAAAACAUGUCCAAUUUUGACAUGUCCAGUUCUUUUGAUAAUUCCUCAAAACAAAGCAAACACAUACACACAAUGAACAAUGAAAGCUUUCCAUGCCCUAUGAGGCAAGAAUAAAACGUGGAAGGAUUGGAUAGGGCUCACACAUUGUCAUAGUUAGCUUCAGCUCUCAACUUCACACAACCCAGCAGGGAAAACCUCAGCCGAGGAAUCAUCAGAUUGGGGCCAUUUUUUUUUUUUUUUUUUUUGAUUACUAAUUGACAUAGGAGGGCCCAGCCCACUGUGGGCGGUGCCAUCCUUUGACAGGAGGGCCUCAACUGUGUAAGAAAGGUAGCUGAACACGAGUCUGGGAGCAAACCUGAGAGCAGCGUAGCGUUCUAAUUUGGUUUUUGCUUUAGUUCCUGCCUCCCUCAAAGAUAGACGGUAACUUGUAAGUCAAAUGAACUUGUUCCUCACCAAGUUGCUUUUGGUCGUGCAUUUGUCCCAGCAGCAGAAACCUCCCUUUAGGACAGGCAGUAUGUGUUAAGGACAGCCAGGUGGCUGCCACACUCUGUCUAUUUAUUGCUAACUUUGUUCCUCCAGUAGGCAUUCAUAAGUUUAUGGUUUUACUCUUUGGCUCUUUGGUGUCUAACGAUCGUUGUCAGACUUCAUUCAGACAAACCGUCUUACUCUGUUUUAAUAUACUCAGAAUGUGCUCUCUCUUUGGACAGGGAACUUAGGUCUGCUUGCAGGCAAGUGUAAGUUACAAGUUGUGUUUAAGUGGGUUGUCUGAGAUGCUUUUGGUUUUAUCGGCUGCAACCGGUGGAGGCUUCUCGCUUGUCUUCCUUUAAAUGAAGAGCUGAGUUAGCUAAUAGGAAGUACCCAUAACAAUAAAGAGCUAAAAUGUGAACUCUGAGAAUCAUUACUCUUUGGGGACUGAGAGUGAAGCACUAAGACCUGUCCCUCUGGUACCGUUAAGUCUCCAUGGUCAGUAUUUUAGAUGGUAGAGCUAACAGCUUCAGUAACUGCAGGAUAUCAGUGACUUGGUGGGAGAAAUCUGUGUGUGGAGGCUUGUGUGGCCGGCACUGCUGGCAUCUCUAGUGGACUUCUGUGUGGAUACCCUGGUAGUCGGCCUCUUUACACCUUACAUCCAGCUCUCCCCAGGAACCAGGAUCCUGGGUGGUUUAGCUGGUGGCUGGGGAAAGUGAGAGCCUACAGAGAGCUUUAAGAGCAUAGCACAUAGCACCUCUCACAUUGACAUUGCUGGCCGUGCUGGCAUGCGGCUUCAUUCAGCCUGCAGCAGGCGAGAAGAUGCAGUAUAGCUAGGAACCCCCAGCGAGGAGGCAGCAUCACCAGCUGUUGCCAGGGGCUGACUGAGAGUGGCAGUUUGCAUCCUGGUGACUUUAGUGAAGGAGACAAGCUCAGCUUUAUGCUGUAGCUUGCAUUGUUUGUAAAGAUCAUACCAGUUUCCU